GUGCCACUCGAGUGAUCUAACUUUGCAUCUCUAGGAUCAAGUUGUGUGAUAAAUUAAGUGACUAAUCCUUUGAAAAAUGAUUGUGAAAAUGCUAACACACUUACACAUGGUGGUGCACACUUGGUAGCGUUGGCACAUUUGCAAAGGAGAAGUUGUUGGACUUAAUUUGGAUCAACUUGGAGAAGAGAAAAAGGUUUUUGGGUGUGUUUCGAAUUAUGUGAUGGAUCUUGGAUU
RNAcentral lists this long non-coding RNA (234 nucleotides) under Sorghum bicolor (sorghum). RNAcentral's name for it is "long non-coding RNA (SBIC_LNC001443)". Lineage: Eukaryota; Viridiplantae; Streptophyta; Magnoliopsida; Poales; Poaceae. The record is from RNAcentral.